RNAcentral lists this ribosomal RNA (520 nucleotides) under uncultured Acaulospora. Its description in RNAcentral is "SSU rRNA". It matches the Rfam family "Eukaryotic small subunit ribosomal RNA", at positions 569 to 1089 of the family's 1831-position model. The record is from RNAcentral. Lineage: Eukaryota; Fungi; Glomeromycota; Glomeromycetes; Diversisporales; Acaulosporaceae.
AGCAGCCGCGGUAAUUCCAGCUCCAAUAGCGUAUAUUAAAGUUGUUGCAGUUAAAAAGCUCGUAGUUGAAUUUCGGAGUUUGUCGGUUGGUCGGGCUUCACUGUCCGCACUGACCUGAUGGAUUCCUACCUUCUGAAUAACCAGCAUGCUAUUAAGUUAGUGCGUUGGGGAAGCAGAGCUAUUACCUUGAAAAAAUUAGAGUGCUUAAAGCAGGCUUAUGCUUGAAUAGAUUAGCAUGGAAUAAUAAAAUAGGACGGCAUGGUUCUAUUUUGUUGGUUUCUAGGAUCACCGUAAUGAUUAAUAGGGAUAGUUGGGGGCAUUAGUAUUCAAUUGUCAGAGGUGAAAUUCUUGGAUUUAUUGAAGACUAACUUCUGCGAAAGCAUUUGCCAAGGAUGUUUUCAUUAAUCAAGGACGAAAGUUAGGGGAUCGAAGACGAUCAGAUACCGUCGUAGUCUUAACCAUAAACUAUGCCGACUAGGGAUCGGACGAUGUUAAUUUUUAAUGACUCGUUCGGCGUCCG